GAUUCCAUUGUGAUUAAGGCUAUAAUAUUAGGUAU
RNAcentral lists this transfer RNA (35 nucleotides) under Saccharomyces cerevisiae YJM1078. Its description in RNAcentral is "partial tRNA-Gln". Lineage: Eukaryota; Fungi; Ascomycota; Saccharomycetes; Saccharomycetales; Saccharomycetaceae. The record is from RNAcentral.